RNAcentral lists this ribosomal RNA (406 nucleotides) under uncultured bacterium. Its description in RNAcentral is "partial 16S ribosomal RNA". It matches the Rfam family "Bacterial small subunit ribosomal RNA", at positions 29 to 526 of the family's 1533-position model. The record is from RNAcentral.
AUUGAACGCUGGCGGCAGGCCUAACACAUGCAAGUCGAGCGAGCGGCGGACGGGUGAGGAAUGUCUGGGAAACUGCCCGAUGGAGGGGGGGAACUACAGUAGACGGUAGCGAAAAUAGCACACCAUAAGAGGUGCCCAGAUGGGAUUUGCUCGUGGGUGGGGUAACGGCGCACCUAGGCGACGAUCCCUAGCUGGUCUGAGAGGAUGACCAGCCACACUGGAACUGAGACACGGUCCAGACUCCUACGGGAGGCAGCAGUGGGGAAUAUUGCACAAUGGGCGCAAGCCUGAUGCAGCCAUGCCGCGUGUGUGAAGAAGGCCUUCGGGUUGUAAAGCACUUUCAGCGGGGAGGCGUUACCCGCAGAAGAAGCACCGGCUAACUCCGUGCCAGCAGCCGCGGUAAUAC